UGUAGGGAAAUGUGUGAGCCGGCUGCCGAGAAAAGCCGCUAUUGUUUGUACUGUACCCGUACCGUAAACCGACACAGGUGGAUGAGGAGAGAAUCCUAAGGCCGACGGAAGAAGCAUUGCUAAGGAACUCGGCAAAAUGACCCUGUAACUUCGGGAGAAAGGGUGCCUCGAAAGAGGCCGCAGAGAAUAGGCCCAAGCAACUGUUUAGCAAAAACACAGGUCUAUGCAAAACCGCAAGGUGAAGUAUAUGGGCUGACGCCUGCCCGGUGCUGGAAGGUUAAGGGGAGAUGUCAGGAGACGAGGCAUCGAACUUAAGCCCCAGUAAACGGCGGCCGUAACUAUAACGGUCCUAAGGUAGCGAAAUUCCUUGUCGGGUAAGUUCCGACCCGCACGAAAGGCGUAAUGAUUUGGGCGCUGUCUCGGCAAUGCAUCCGGUGAAAUUGAAGUGCCAGUGAAGAUGCUGGCUACCCGCGCCAGGACGGAAAGACCCCAUCGAGCUUUACUCCAGCUUGAUACUGGGAUUCGGUAUUGUAUGUACAGGAUAGGUGGGAGGCUGAGAAAUGGUGACGCCAGUCGCCAUGGAGCCGCUGUUGGGAUACCACCCUUGCAGUACUGGGUUUCUAACCAGCAGCCGUGAUCCGGCUGGGGGACAAUGUCAGGUGGGGAGUUUGACUGGGGCGGUCGCCUCCGAAAGGGUAUCGGAGGCGCUCAAAGGUUCCCUCAGAAUGGUCGGAAACCAUUCGAAGAGUGCAAAGGCAGAAGGGAGCUUGACUGCGACACCGACGGGUGGGGCAGGUACGAAAGUAGGACUUAGUGAUCCGGUGGUAUUAAGUGGGAAUGCCAUCGCUCAACGGAUAAAAGCUACCCUGGGAUAACAGGCUUAUCACUCCCAAGAGUUCACAUCGACGGAGUGGUUUGGCACCUCGAUGUCGGCUCAUCGCCCAUUAAAGCGGUACGCGAGCUGGGUUCAGAACGUCGUGAGACAGUUCGGUCCCUAUCCGGCGUGGGCGUAGGAUAUUUGAGAGGAGCUGACCUUAGUACGAGAGGACCGGGUUGGACUGACCUCUGGUGCACCGGUUGUCAUGCCAAUGGCACAGCCGGGUAGCCAAGUCGGGAAGGGAUAAACGCUGAAGGCAUCUAAGCGUGAAGCCCCCCUCAAGAUGAGAUAUCCCCCGCAUAAGCGGUAAGACCCCUUGAAGACGACGAGGUAGAUAGGGCAGAGGUGGAAGUGCAGUAAUGUAUGGAGCUGACUGCUACUAAUAGGUCGAAGGCUUAACCAA
This 1280-nucleotide ribosomal RNA is filed under the name metagenome. RNAcentral's name for it is "bacterial LSU rRNA". It matches the Rfam family "Bacterial large subunit ribosomal RNA", at positions 1582 to 2925 of the family's 2925-position model. The record is from RNAcentral.